UCGAACGACUUCCGUUAUUGAUUAUGACGUACUUGUACUGAUUGAGAUUUUAACACGAAGUGAGUGGCGAACGGGUGAGUAACACGUGGGUAACCUGCCCAGAAGUAGGGGAUAACACCUGGAAACAGAUGCUAAUACCGUAUAACAGAGAAAACCGCAUGGUUUUCUUUUAAAAGAUGGCUCUGCUAUCACUUCUGGAUGGACCCGCGGCGUAUUAGCUAGUUGGUGAGGUAAAGGCUCACCAAGGCAGUGAUACGUAGCCGACCUGAGAGGGUAAUCGGCCACAUUGGGACUGAGACACGGCCCAGACUCCUACGGGAGGCAGCAGUAGGGAAUCUUCCACAAUGGACGCAAGUCUGAUGGAGCAACGCCGCGUGAGUGAAGAAGGGUUUCGGCUCGUAAAGCUCUGUUGUUAAAGAAGAACGUGGGUAAGAGUAACUGUUUACCCAGUGACGGUAUUUAACCAGAAAGCCACGGCUAACUACGUGCCAGCAGCCGCGGUAAUACGUAGGUGGCAAGCGUUAUCCGGAUUUAUUGGGCGUAAAGCGAGCGCAGGCGGUCUUUUAAGUCUAAUGUGAAAGCCUUCGGCUCAACCGAAGAAGUGCAUUGGAAACUGGGAGACUUGAGUGCAGAAGAGGACAGUGGAACUCCAUGUGUAGCGGUGAAAUGCGUAGAUAUAUGGAAGAACACCAGUGGCGAAGGCGGCUGUCUGGUCUGCAACUGACGCUGAGGCUCGAAAGCAUGGGUAGCGAACAGGAUUAGAUACCCUGGUAGUCCAUGCCGUAAACGAUGAUUACUAAGUGUUGGAGGGUUUCCGCCCUUCAGUGCUGCAGCUAACGCAUUAAGUAAUCCGCCUGGGGAGUACGACCGCAAGGUUGAAACUCAAAAGAAUUGACGGGGGCCCGCACAAGCGGUGGAGCAUGUGGUUUAAUUCGAAGCUACGCGAAGAACCUUACCAGGUCUUGACAUCUUCUGACAGUCUAAGAGAUUAGAGGUUCCCUUCGGGGACAGAAUGACAGGUGGUGCAUGGUUGUCGUCAGCUCGUGUCGUGAGAUGUUGGGUUAAGUCCCGCAACGAGCGCAACCCUUAUUACUAGUUGCCAGCAUUAAGUUGGGCACUCUAGUGAGACUGCCGGUGACAAACCGGAGGAAGGUGGGGACGACGUCAAAUCAUCAUGCCCCUUAUGACCUGGGCUACACACGUGCUACAAUGGAUGGUACAACGAGUCGCGAGACCGCGAGGUUAAGCUAAUCUCUUAAAACCAUUCUCAGUUCGGACUGUAGGCUGCAACUCGCCUACACGAAGUCGGAAUCGCUAGUAAUCGCGGAUCAGCAUGCCGCGGUGAAUACGUUCCCGGGCCUUGUACACACCGCCCGUCACACCAUGAGAGUUGUAACACCCAAAGCCGGUGGGGUAAC
This 1418-nucleotide ribosomal RNA is filed under the name Pediococcus pentosaceus. Its description in RNAcentral is "bacterial SSU rRNA". It matches the Rfam family "Bacterial small subunit ribosomal RNA", at positions 62 to 1439 of the family's 1533-position model. The record is from RNAcentral. Lineage: Bacteria; Bacillati; Bacillota; Bacilli; Lactobacillales; Lactobacillaceae.